GGACGAUGACGAUUAACUUGUUUUAGGUCUCGUUCGUCGUAACGGCGACAAGCCUUGCCGACCAUCCUGAUAUAUCACCACCCAUAUUCCGAGUCC
Small nucleolar RNA from Elaeis guineensis (African oil palm), 96 nucleotides. RefSeq annotates it as small nucleolar RNA Z43. Lineage: Eukaryota; Viridiplantae; Streptophyta; Magnoliopsida; Arecales; Arecaceae. The record is from RefSeq and is a predicted model, not a curated record.